This 777-nucleotide ribosomal RNA is filed under the name uncultured Neocallimastigales. Its description in RNAcentral is "partial large subunit ribosomal RNA". It matches the Rfam family "Eukaryotic large subunit ribosomal RNA", at positions 24 to 645 of the family's 3401-position model. The record is from RNAcentral. Lineage: Eukaryota; Fungi; Neocallimastigomycota; Neocallimastigomycetes; Neocallimastigales.
UAUCUCUGUAGAGUCUGCAUAUCAAUAAGCGGAGGAAAAGAAACUAACUAGGAUUCCCUCAGUAACGGCGAGUGAAGCGGGAAGAGCUCAAAUUUGAAAUCUUCAAGGUUCUACCUUGACGAAUUGUAGUUUAAAGAAGUGUUUUCUGUUGGAGUUUUGGUAAAAGUUCUUUGGAAUAGGACAUCAUAGAGGGUGAGAAUCCCGUAUUUGACCAUUAUUUCCAACUUUGUGAUACACUUUCAAAGAGUCGGAUUGUUUGGGAAUGCAGUCCAAAAUGGGUGGUAAAUUUCAUCUAAAGCUAAAUACUGGCGAGAGACCGAUAGCGAACAAGUACCGUGAGGGAAAGAUGAAAAGAACUUUGAAAAGAGAGUUAAACAGUACGUGAAAUUGUCAAAAGGGAAGCGUUUGACACCAGUGUUGUUUUUCUCGAAAAUCAAUUAAAAAUGGCGGGAUUUUGUGUUGUAUUGACUUUAUCAGCUUUCUGCACUUUUUUCUUGUCUUUUUUAAUGCACUUUUCGUUUAACAAGUCAACAUCAAUUUCUUUUGUUGUAAAAGGGUCAUUGGAAGGUGGCUUUCUUUUCGGAGAAAGUGUUUAUAGCCUUUGGCUUCUGCAAUCGGGAGAGAUUGAGGUCUGCAGCGUAGAUCCUUCGGGGUUAGAUACAUUUGUGCUAAGUUAUAGCCUUUCAUAGACAACUUGUUGACUAUGAUCAGUUCAUGUAGCUUACUCGCUUAUGUCAUUUUACCUACGCUUAGGAUGUUGAUCUCUCACAGUCGAGC